UUGGAGAGUUUGAUCCUGGCUCAGGACGAACGCUGGCGGCGUGCUUAACACAUGCAAGUCGAACGAUGAUGCUCCAGCUUUGUUGGGGUGGAUUAGUGGCGAACGGGUGAGUAACACGUGAGUAACCUGCCCUCUUCUUUGGGAUAACGGUCGGAAACGGCUGCUAAUACUGGAUAUUCACUCAUUGGCGCAUGUUGGUGGGUGGAAAGGUUUUUUCUGGUGGGGGAUGGGCUCGCGGCCUAUCAGCUUGUUGGUGGGGUGAUGGCCUACCAAGGCUUUGACGGGUAACCGGCCUGAGAGGGUGACCGGUCACAUUGGGACUGAGAUACGGCCCAGACUCCUACGGGAGGCAGCAGUGGGGAAUUUUGCACAAUGGGCGCAAGCCUGAUGCAGCGACGCCGCGUGAGGGAUGAAGGCCUUCGGGUUGUAAACCUUUUUCGCUCAUGGUCAAGCCGCAGCUUUGGGUUGUGGUGAGGGUAGUGGGUAAAGAAGCGCCGGCUAACUACGUGCCAGCAGCCG
RNAcentral lists this ribosomal RNA (519 nucleotides) under Schaalia turicensis. RNAcentral describes it as "bacterial SSU rRNA". It matches the Rfam family "Bacterial small subunit ribosomal RNA", at positions 1 to 517 of the family's 1533-position model. The record is from RNAcentral. Lineage: Bacteria; Bacillati; Actinomycetota; Actinomycetes; Actinomycetales; Actinomycetaceae.